RNAcentral lists this ribosomal RNA (427 nucleotides) under uncultured bacterium. Its description in RNAcentral is "partial 16S ribosomal RNA". It matches the Rfam family "Bacterial small subunit ribosomal RNA", at positions 355 to 774 of the family's 1533-position model. The record is from RNAcentral.
UGGGGAAUAUUGGCCAAUGGGCGAAAGCAUGAUCCAGCCAUGCCGCGUGUGUGAAGAAGGUCUUCGGAUUGUAAAGCACUUUAAGUUGGGAGGAAGGGCAUUAACCUAAUACGUUAGUGUUUUGACGUUACCGACAGAAUAAGCACCGGCUAACUCUGUGCCAGCAGCCGCGGUAAUACAGAGGGUGCAAGCGUUAAUCGGCAUUACUGGGCGUAAAGCGCGCGUAGGUGGUUUGUUAAGUUGGAUGUGAAAUCCCCGGGCUCAACCUGGGAACUGCAUUCAAAACUGACUGACUAGAGUAUGGUAGAGGGUGGUGGAAUUUCCUGUGUAGCGGUGAAAUGCGUAGAUAUAGGAAGGAACACCAGUGGCGAAGGCGACCACCUGGACUAAUACUGACACUGAGGUGCGAAAGCGUGGGGAGCAAACA